This 857-nucleotide long non-coding RNA is filed under the name Bos taurus (domestic cattle). RNAcentral's name for it is "long non-coding RNA NONBTAT011306". Lineage: Eukaryota; Metazoa; Chordata; Mammalia; Artiodactyla; Bovidae. The record is from RNAcentral.
GGUGACAAUUUAUUUAAUUUAGGUUAAGCUGCUAAUGAACUCUUCAUACCUCGGAAACAAUUUAUAUAUCCAUCUUGAAAAUACCAGCAGGAAAUAUUCCCAACAUUUGCACUCUGAGAUCCUGGAGCACAGGAACUUGUAUGAAGUAGAAAGGUUUGAUUCUAUGACCGUUCAGCCUUAGCCCUUCACUCCCCUACCCUUUGCUACCUUCUUGCCCUGUCACCCCUCCAACCCAGUCUCUAUCAGCAGGAAUUUUCAAUUAUGAUCCUCCCACUGCUGCAAAGAGCUAUUUUAUAACAAUGUUUUCAAACAAAGGAAAACCAUGUGAUUCUUCCAUUAUUUAAAUGUAACAGUAUUAACUUAAAUUCUAAGUACAGAAAUGACCACUUUUACUAUAAACAGAAGAGUUUAUUCUUCAAUCACAAUCCUUCUGUACUUCCCCAAGUUAAGAUUCUGGGUAAGAUGAAUAUGAGGCAUUAUAUCAGGAGUUCAGACUUUAAGAUUAAUUUUAAAGUGAGAGAAGUCAAGCCUUAGGACUUUCUAAGAGACCAGAAAGCUGUGUUGAUAUUAUGCCUCUUUCUGGUUUCUAUUAUAUAGUAAGGUUUUAAUCAUAUUCAUACCCAUGAAAUCUUUUCUUAAAUGGAACAAAUCAGAGUUUCUGUGUUUAAAAUGUUAUGAUUCAAAUUCCCUUAAAAAAAAAAGCAUCACCAUUGACAAUAAGAAUCUGAGCUAUGUAAAAUCUAGCAGAAUCAUGAGGGGUACACAUUAGUGGCCAUGUUUAAGCACGCUAUGAUGACAGCCUUCCAGAGUUUUCAGCUGGGCUAUUUAAGAUAUGUAUCUGCUCAUAUGUAGAUACA